Molecule: ribosomal RNA, 342 nt
Filed under: uncultured bacterium
Lineage: Bacteria
Description: partial 16S ribosomal RNA
Rfam family: Bacterial small subunit ribosomal RNA
Source: RNAcentral
CCUACGGGCGGCAGCAGUAGGGAAUAUUGCUCAAUGGGGGAAACCCUGAAGCAGCAACGCCGCGUGGAGGAUGAAGGUCUUAGGAUUGUAAACCCCUUUUGUGAGAGAAGAUAAAGACGGUAUCUCACGAAUAAGCACUGGCCAACACCGUGCCAGCAGCCGCGGUAAUACGGAGGGUGCAAGCGUUACGCGGAAUCACUGGGCGUAAAGGGUGCUCAGGCGGGCUUGUAAGUCUGUUGGGAAAACCUGUAGCUUAACUACAGAACUGCAUUUGAAACUCGGAGUCUAGAGUGUGGUAGAGGUAGGUGGAAGUCGUGGUGUAGGGGUGAAAUCCUUAGAUAU